UACAAGGCUUUGGAGCCUGAAAUCCUCUCUGCUCAGCCCAGGCAGAACCUGGGAAAGCUUCCCUCUUGCUGUGCCUCAACCCUGAGCUGAAGGGACCAAUCUCUAGAGCUCAAAGGGGGAGUUCAGUCAUUGUGCCACUCUCCUGUGAUUGC
RNAcentral lists this small RNA (152 nucleotides) under Chrysemys picta bellii (western painted turtle). RNAcentral's name for it is "TUC338 (ENSCPBG00000025338.1)". Lineage: Eukaryota; Metazoa; Chordata; Testudines; Emydidae. The record is from RNAcentral.